GUUUUUAUGAAAUAUUUAUAAAGUCUGGCCUGCCCACUGAAUUUUUAAAGGGCCGCGGUAUUUUGACCGUGCAAAGGUAGCAUAAUCAUUAGUCUUUUAAUUGGGGGCUUGCAUGAAUGGUCGAACAAAAGGUAUACUGUCUUAGUUAUUAAAAGUUGAAUUUAACUUUCAAGUAAAAAGACUUGAAUAAUUUAAAGGGACGAUAAGACCCUAUAAAGCUUAAUGGUUUAGCAUUAUAAAUAUGAGUUAGUUAUUUAAAGUUUUUGUGUGGAAUACAUUUUAUUGGGGCGAUAAGAAUAUAAAUUGUAACUGUUUUAUAAAUUUAAUGUUUAUAAAUAUUAAAUUAAUUGAUCCUUUAAUAAAGAUUAUAAGAUUAAGUUACUUUAGGGAUAACAGCGUAAUUUUCUUUAAGAGUUCUUAUCGAUAAGAAAGAUUGCGACCUCGAUGUUGAAUUAAAAUUUCUUUAAGGUGCAGUAGUUUUAGGAGAGGGUCUGUUCGACCCUUAAAUUUUU
Molecule: ribosomal RNA, 512 nt
Filed under: Bentheuphausia amblyops
Lineage: Eukaryota; Metazoa; Arthropoda; Malacostraca; Euphausiacea; Bentheuphausiidae
Description: partial 16S ribosomal RNA
Rfam family: Bacterial large subunit ribosomal RNA
Source: RNAcentral